This 891-nucleotide ribosomal RNA is filed under the name Streptomyces sp. RNAcentral describes it as "bacterial SSU rRNA". It matches the Rfam family "Bacterial small subunit ribosomal RNA", at positions 38 to 943 of the family's 1533-position model. The record is from RNAcentral. Lineage: Bacteria; Bacillati; Actinomycetota; Actinomycetes; Kitasatosporales; Streptomycetaceae.
CGUGGGGGUGCUUACCAUGCAAGUCGAACGAUGAACCGGCUUCGGCCGGGGAUUAGUGGCGAACGGGUGAGUAACACGUGGGCAAUCUGCCCUGCACUCUGGGACAAGCCCUGGAAACGGGGUCUAAUACCGGAUACGAGCUCCUGCCGCAUGGUGGGGGUUGGAAAGCUCCGGCGGUGCAGGAUGAGCCCGCGGCCUAUCAGCUUGUUGGUGAGGUAACGGCUCACCAAGGCGACGACGGGUAGCCGGCCUGAGAGGGCGACCGGCCACACUGGGACUGAGACACGGCCCAGACUCCUACGGGAGGCAGCAGUGGGGAAUAUUGCACAAUGGGCGCAAGCCUGAUGCAGCGACGCCGCGUGAGGGAUGACGGCCUUCGGGUUGUAAACCUCUUUCAGCAGGGAAGAAGCGCAAGUGACGGUACCUGCAGAAGAAGCGCCGGCUAACUACGUGCCAGCAGCCGCGGUAAUACGUAGGGCGCAAGCGUUGUCCGGAAUUAUUGGGCGUAAAGAGCUCGUAGGCGGCUUGUCGCGUCGGUUGUGAAAGCCCGGGGCUUAACCCCGGGUCUGCAGUCGAUACGGGCAGGCUAGAGUUCGGUAGGGGAGAUCGGAAUUCCUGGUGUAGCGGUGAAAUGCGCAGAUAUCAGGAGGAACACCGGUGGCGAAGGCGGAUCUCUGGGCCGAUACUGACGCUGAGGAGCGAAAGCGUGGGGAGCGAACAGGAUUAGAUACCCUGGUAGUCCACGCCGUAAACGGUGGGCACUAGGUGUGGGCAACAUUCCACGUUGUCCGUGCCGCAGCUAACGCAUUAAGUGCCCCGCCUGGGGAGUACGGCCGCAAGGCUAAGACUCGAAGGAAUUGACGGGGGCGCGCACAAGCGGCGGAGGGUGUG